RNAcentral lists this ribosomal RNA (250 nucleotides) under uncultured prokaryote. Its description in RNAcentral is "partial 16S ribosomal RNA". It matches the Rfam family "Bacterial small subunit ribosomal RNA", at positions 524 to 773 of the family's 1533-position model. The record is from RNAcentral.
UACGGGGGGUGCGAGCGUUGUCCGGAAUCAUUGGGCGUAAAGAGUUCGUAGGCGGUUUGGUAAGUCAGAUGUUAAAGGCGCAGGCUUAACCUGUGUAUGGCAUUUGAUACUGUCAGACUUGAAUGCGGUAGAGGUAAAGGGAAUUCCCGGUGUAGCGGUGAAAUGCUUAGAUAUCGGGAGGAACAUCGGUGGCGUAAGCGCUUUACUGGGCCGUAAUUGACGCUGAGGAACGAAAGCCAGGGUAGCAAAC